AUAUCAAUAAGCAGAGGAAAAGAAACUAACAAGGAUUCCCCUAGUAACGGCGAGUGAAGCGGGAUGAGCUCAAAUUUAAAAUCUGGCUGGUUUACUAGUCCGAAUUGUAGUUUAUAGAAGCAUUUUCGGUGGCAGCCUGGGUAUAUAUCCUUUGGAAUAGGGUAUCAUAGAGGGUAAGAAUCCCGUCUUUGACUCAGUGCAUGCUACUAUGUGAUACGUUUUCAAAGAGUCGAGUUAUUUGGGAAUGCAGCUCAAAAUGGGUAGUAAAUUUCAUCUAAGGCUAAAUAUUGGCGAGAGACCGAUAGCGAACAAGCACCGUGAGGGAAAGAUGAAAAGAACUUUGAAAAGAGAGUUAAACAGUAG
RNAcentral lists this ribosomal RNA (363 nucleotides) under uncultured fungus. RNAcentral describes it as "eukaryotic LSU rRNA". It matches the Rfam family "Eukaryotic large subunit ribosomal RNA", at positions 40 to 398 of the family's 3401-position model. The record is from RNAcentral. Lineage: Eukaryota; Fungi.